GACGAACGCUGGCGGCGUGCUUAACACAUGCAAGUCGAACGGAAAGGCCCUGCUUGCAGGGUACUCGAGUGGCGAACGGGUGAGUAACACGUGGGUGAUCUGCCCUGCAAUUCGGGAUAAGGAUGGGAAACUGGGUCUAAUACAGGAUAGGAGCUAUUUUUAGUGUGAUGGUUGGAAAGUUUUUUCGGUGUAGGAUGAGCUCGCGGCCUAUCGGCUUGUUGGUGGGGUCAUGGCCUACCAAGGCGGCGACGGGUAGCCGGCCUGAGAGAGUGGACGGCCACAUUUGGACUGAGAUACGGCCCAGACUCCUACUGGAGGCAGCAGUGGGGAAUAUUGCACAAUGGGCGCAAGCCUGAUGCAGCGACGCCGCGUGGGGGAUGACGGCCUUCGGGUUGUAAACUCCUUUCGCUAGGGACGAAGCUUUUUGUGACGGUACCUAGAUAAAAAGCACCGGCUAACUACGUG
This 465-nucleotide ribosomal RNA is filed under the name uncultured bacterium. Its description in RNAcentral is "partial 16S ribosomal RNA". It matches the Rfam family "Bacterial small subunit ribosomal RNA", at positions 28 to 507 of the family's 1533-position model. The record is from RNAcentral.